GACGAACGCUGGCGGCGUGCUUAACACAUGCAAGUCGAACGGAAAGGCCUGCUUUCCCUUGUGGAUUGCGGGUACUCGAGUGGCGAACGGGUGAGUAACACGUGAGUGAUCUGCCCCCAACUUGGGUAUAAGCCUGGGAAACUGGGUCUAAUUCCCGAUAGGACUGCAGGGUGGUGCCUGUGGUGGAAAACGAUUUUCUAGUGGUUGGGGAUGAGCUCGCGGCCUAUCAGCUUGUUGGUGGGGUAAUGGCCUACCAAGGCGGCGACGGGUAGCCGGCCUGAGAGGGUGGACGGCCACAUUGGGACUGAGAUACGGCCCAGACUCCUACGGGAGGCAGCAGUGGGGAAUAUUGCACAAUGGGCGGAAGCCUGAGGCAGCGACGCCGCGGGGGGGAUGACGGCCUUCGGGUUGUAAACUCCUUUCGACCGCGAGGAAGCCACCUGGUUGGAAGGGUGGUGACGGUAGUGGUAGAAGAAGCACCGGCUAACUACGUG
RNAcentral lists this ribosomal RNA (494 nucleotides) under uncultured bacterium. Its description in RNAcentral is "partial 16S ribosomal RNA". It matches the Rfam family "Bacterial small subunit ribosomal RNA", at positions 28 to 507 of the family's 1533-position model. The record is from RNAcentral.